This is a long non-coding RNA of Anopheles arabiensis, 833 nucleotides long. RefSeq lists it as uncharacterized. The transcript is spliced from 2 exons. Lineage: Eukaryota; Metazoa; Arthropoda; Insecta; Diptera; Culicidae. The record is from RefSeq and is a predicted model, not a curated record.
UCCGCGAGAGCGAUCUCUCGUCGGCUGACGAGCACGAGUGCCCACCGUCUCGGUACCGAUGGAGAUCGAUCUCUCGGUACCGAUCGGCAACGAGAGGGAACGUAGGGAGAGGUCGAGAGAGAGAGAUUAGAAGAGAUUAGGGGGCAUUCGGGUCCGCGACGCGUUCGGAGCAACAGCUCACCAUCUUCCCGCGUAUACGUGUAAAACACAUAAUAGGAAUAAAUAUUUUAAUAUAAUAGAACAUAAAAUUUUUGUUGGGCACACAUUUGGGGCUAUUAUUAUCAGUUUUCUUAGGAACAUCCAAGACAGACAUAUUUGGUACACCGGUCAAAGAUAGCAUCGACAGAUUAAUUCGACAUGGAAACACUAAUUGGUUCAUAUAAAAAUAAAAAAAACCAAUACAAGCAACGGAAAAGGUAUUGCACCUGAUCCAGCUGGUUGGAACAUAUCCAUGUCUGUGGAAGGAUUCCGAGCGGCAGUAUAAAAACCACGAAAUACGCCACCAGGCUUAGCGAGAAAUUGGAGCAGCGCUAGACGAAAAAACAGAGGACGCCCAGGAAAAAUGGAAAAACCUGAUGAACACCUACAGACGCACCAAAAAAGAAAUUGCACGAAGCCAAACAACCGGCUCCAUACACUUUCCCGCUCCAGGAAGAUAUCGGUCAUCCAGCAGCGCCUUUCGAUUUCCUGUUGAUUUUCUUCUUCCUCCUCUUCAAUAAGAAGCAUCAUUAAAGUGGCCACUUCAGAAGCAAUAGCUGGUAGAAGUUGAGUUUGAUCAAUUUUAUUGUCGUCCUUAACAAAACAAUAAAACUAUGGAGCAAAGCACAAACCAA